GAGUGUUCGGUUAAGUCCGCUAACGAGCGCAACCCUCGUCGUGUGUUAUACGUGUCACACGAUACUGCCGGUAUCAAGCCGGAGGAAGGUGGGGAUGAUGUCAAGUCAGCAUGGCCUUUAUAUCCUGGGCUACACACACGCUACAAUGGCAGAUACAAUAGGUUGCGAAACCGCGAGGUGGAGCCAAUCCUCAAAGUCUGUCUCAGUUCAGAUUGUAGGCUGCAACUCGCCUGCAUGAAGUUGGAGUUGCUAGUAAACGCAGGUCAGCUAUACUGCGUUGAAUACGUUCCCGGGGUUU
Molecule: ribosomal RNA, 298 nt
Filed under: uncultured Leptolinea sp.
Lineage: Bacteria; Bacillati; Chloroflexota; Anaerolineae; Anaerolineales; Anaerolineaceae
Description: partial 16S ribosomal RNA
Rfam family: Bacterial small subunit ribosomal RNA
Source: RNAcentral